GCUGGUAUAUUUGAUGCCUAUGUUCCUCCUGAGGGUGAUGCACGCAUAUCAUCUCUUUCAAAGGAGGGACUGAUAGAACUGAACGAAUGAAGAAGACUAUGGCAUCACAAGUGUCAAUCCGGAGGAUAAAAGACUAUGAUGCCAACUUUAAAAUAAAGGACUUCCCUGAAAAAGCUAAGGAUAUCUUUAUUGAAGCUCACCUUUGUCUAAACAAGUCCAUAUAAAGAGCUAUACGCUUGGGAGUACAGUGGCUCACACCUGCCAUCUCAGCAUUUUCAGAGGCCAAGUGGGGAAUUGCUUGAUACCAGGAGUUCAAGACCAGCCUGAGCAACACAGGGAGACCACAUCUCUACAAAAGAUUAUUUUUAAAAAUUAGCUGGGCUGAGUGGCAUGUGCCUGUGAUCCCAGCUACUUGGGAAGCUGAGGUGGAAGGAUUAUUUGAGCCCAGGAGGUCUAGGCUGCAGUGUGCAAUGAUUCAGCCAUUGCACUCCAGCCUAGAUGACAGAGCAAGACCCAGUCUCAAAAAAAAGAUUAUGAAUGGCUAGUAAGCAUGUGAAAAUAUGCUUGACAUCAUUACUCAUUAAGG
This 586-nucleotide long non-coding RNA is filed under the name Pan troglodytes (chimpanzee). RNAcentral describes it as "long non-coding RNA NONPTRT006680". The record is from RNAcentral. Lineage: Eukaryota; Metazoa; Chordata; Mammalia; Primates; Hominidae.